GCGCCCGUGGCCCAGGGGAUAGGGCGUCGGCCUCCGGAGCCGGAGAUCGUAGGUUCGAAUCCUACCGGGCGUACCA
RNAcentral lists this transfer RNA (76 nucleotides) under Deltaproteobacteria bacterium. Its description in RNAcentral is "tRNA-Arg". It matches the Rfam family "tRNA". From Rfam's summary of the family: Transfer RNA (tRNA) molecules are approximately 80 nucleotides in length. Their secondary structure includes four short double-helical elements and three loops (D, anti-codon, and T loops). Further hydrogen bonds mediate the characteristic L-shaped molecular structure. tRNAs have two regions of fundamental functional importance: the anti-codon, which is responsible for specific mRNA codon recognition, and the 3' end, to which the tRNAs corresponding amino acid is attached (by aminoacyl-tRNA synthetases). tRNAs cope with the degeneracy of the genetic code in two manners: having more than one tRNA (with a specific anti-codon) for a particular amino acid; and 'wobble' base-pairing, i.e. permitting non-standard base-pairing at the 3rd anti-codon position. Lineage: Bacteria; Pseudomonadati; Myxococcota; Myxococcia. The record is from RNAcentral.